AAAACGACUCUCGGCAACGGAUAUCUCGGCUCUCGCAUCGAUGAAGAACGUAGCGAAAUGCGAUACUUGGUGUGAAUUGCAGAAUCCCGUGAACCAUCGAGUCUUUGAACGCAAGUUGCGCCCGAAGCCAUCCGGCCAAGGGCACGUCUGCCUGGGCGUCACGC
Molecule: ribosomal RNA, 164 nt
Filed under: Allenrolfea occidentalis
Lineage: Eukaryota; Viridiplantae; Streptophyta; Magnoliopsida; Caryophyllales; Amaranthaceae
Description: 5.8S ribosomal RNA
Rfam family: 5.8S ribosomal RNA
About the family: 5.8S ribosomal RNA (5.8S rRNA) is a component of the large subunit of the eukaryotic ribosome. It is transcribed by RNA polymerase I as part of the 45S precursor that also contains 18S and 28S rRNA. Functionally, it is thought that 5.8S rRNA may be involved in ribosome translocation.
Source: RNAcentral